RNAcentral lists this ribosomal RNA (468 nucleotides) under uncultured bacterium. RNAcentral describes it as "partial 16S ribosomal RNA". It matches the Rfam family "Bacterial small subunit ribosomal RNA", at positions 28 to 507 of the family's 1533-position model. The record is from RNAcentral.
GACGAACGCUGGCGGCGUGCUUAACACAUGCAAGUCGAACGGAAAGGCCCUGCUUUUGUGGGGUGCUCGAGUGGCGAACGGGUGAGUAACACGUGAGUAACCUGCCCUUGACUUUGGGAUAACUUCAGGAAACUGGGGCUAAUACCGGAUAGGAGCUCCUGCUGCAUGGUGGGGGUUGGAAGGUUUCGGGGGUUGGGGAUGGACUCGCGGAUUAUCAGCUUGUUGGUGGGGUAGUGGCUUACCAAGGCUUUGACGGGUAGCAGGCCUGAGAGGGUGACCGGCCACAUUGGGACUGAGAUACGGCCCAGACUCCUACGGGAGGGAGCAGUGGGGAAUAUUGCACAAUGGGCGGAAGCCUGAUGCAGCAACGCCGCGUGCGGGAUGACGGCCUUCGGGUUGUAAACCGCUUUCGCCUGUGACGAAGCGUGAGUGACGGUAAUGGGUAAAGAAGCACCGGCUAACUACGUG